GUCUUCGGCAUCUGCACUCGCACGCUCUCGCUUCUCAACUCAUACUGCACGCCUUUUGCAUUCGUUCUCGCUGGCGUCUCAACUAACUCUACCCUUAGCGUCUCUUUGUCUUUUCUCGUCCCAUCGAACACAUGUCCCGAAACCCCAGAAAAUAUGAAACUUGAAAAGUACAUCACGCUGAUGCCUCGAUAAACCGUCGUGUCGAUAAAUCCAUGUGUCCGAGCGAUGAAUUUUCCCCAAACAACAAAAAACUGAAGGGAAAUCUUCUUUGAAGGACGUGACAAGGUAGGAGAAGCGGGAACAAUGAUCACGCGAUAAACUGAUGGUGUACGUAUAGAACGAGUGUUGCGAGAGAAUUAUCGAGAAACAAAAAAAGAAAAAAUAAUCGUUGGC
Molecule: unclassified non-coding RNA, 393 nt
Filed under: Bombus terrestris (buff-tailed bumblebee)
Lineage: Eukaryota; Metazoa; Arthropoda; Insecta; Hymenoptera; Apidae
Description: misc RNA ENSBTSG00005039197.1
Source: RNAcentral